Molecule: ribosomal RNA, 622 nt
Filed under: Akkermansia muciniphila
Lineage: Bacteria; Pseudomonadati; Verrucomicrobiota; Verrucomicrobiia; Verrucomicrobiales; Akkermansiaceae
Description: bacterial SSU rRNA
Rfam family: Bacterial small subunit ribosomal RNA
Source: RNAcentral
UGGCGGCGUGGUUAAGACAUGCAAGUCGAACGGGAGAAUUGCUAGCUUGCUAAUAAUUCUCUAGUGGCGCACGGGUGAGUAACACGUGAGUAACCUGCCCCCAAGAGUGGGAUAGCCCCGGGAAACUGGGAUUAAUACUGCAUAAAAUCGCAAGAUUAAAGCAGCAAUGCGCUUGGGGAUGGGCUCGCGUCCUAUUAGUUAGUUGGUGAGGCAACGGCUCACCAAGGCGAUGACGGGUAGCCGGUCUGAGAGGAUGUCCGGCCACACUGGAACUGAGACACGGUCCAGACACCUACGGGUGGCAGCAGUCGAGAAUCAUUCACAAUGGGGGAAACCCUGAUGGUGCGACGCCGCGUGGGGGAAUGAAGGUCUUCGGAUUGUAAACCCCUGUCAUGUGGGAGCAAAUUAAAAAGAUAGUACCACAAGAGGAAGAGACGGCUAACUCUGUGCCAGCAGCCGCGGUAAUACAGAGGUCUCAAGCGUUGUUCGGAAUCACUGGGCGUAAAGCGUGCGUAGGCGGUUUCGUAAGUCGUGUGUGAAAGGCGGGGGCUCAACCCCCGGACUGCACAUGAUACUGCGAGACUAGAGUAAUGGAGGGGGAACCGGAAUUCACGGUGUAGCA